UACGUAGGUGGCAAGCGUUGUCCGGAUUUACUGGGCGUAAAGAGCGCGCAGGCGGUCGUUCAAGUCGCGUGUGAAAGCCCCCGGCUCAACUGGGGAGGGUCACGCGAUACUGAUCGACUCGAAGGCAGGAGAGGGUAGUGGAAUUCCCGGUGUAGUGGUGAAAUGCGUAGAUAUCGGGAGGAACACCAGUGGCGAAGGCGGUUCUCUGGGCCUGUACUGACGCUGAGGAGCGAAAGCGUGGGGAGCGAACAGG
This 253-nucleotide ribosomal RNA is filed under the name uncultured bacterium. Its description in RNAcentral is "partial 16S ribosomal RNA". It matches the Rfam family "Bacterial small subunit ribosomal RNA", at positions 524 to 776 of the family's 1533-position model. The record is from RNAcentral.